AUUGAACGCUGGCGGCAGGCCUAACACAUGCAAGUCGAAUGGUAACAGGAAGCAGCUUGCUGUUUCGCUGACGAGUGGCGGACGGGUGAGUAAUGUCUGGGAAACUGCCUGAUGGAGGGGGAUAACUACUGGAAACGGUAGCUAAUACCGCAUAACGUCGCAAGACCAAAGAGGGGGACCUUCGGGCCUCUUGCCAUCAGAUGUGCCCAGAUGGGAUUAGCUAGUAGGUGGGGUAACGGCUCACCUAGGCGACGAUCCCUAGCUGGUCUGAGAGGAUGACCAGCCACACUGGAACUGAGACACGGUCCAGACUCCUACGGGAGGCAGCAGUGGGGAAUAUUGCACAAUGGGCGCAAGCCUGAUGCAGCCAUGCCGCGUGUAUGAAGAAGGCCUUCGGGUUGUAAAGUACUUUCAGCGGGGAGGAAGGGAGUAAAGUUAAUACCUUUGCUCAUUGACGUUACCCGCAGAAGAAGCACCGGCUAACUCCGUG
RNAcentral lists this ribosomal RNA (490 nucleotides) under uncultured bacterium. RNAcentral describes it as "partial 16S ribosomal RNA". It matches the Rfam family "Bacterial small subunit ribosomal RNA", at positions 30 to 507 of the family's 1533-position model. The record is from RNAcentral.